GAUGAAGAACGUAGCAAAAUGCGAUAAGUAAUGUGAAUUGCAGAAUUCAGUGAUUCAUCGAAUCUUUGAACGCACAUUGCGCCCGCUGGUAUUCCGGCGGGCAUGCCUGUUCGAGCGUCAUUUCAACCCUCAAGCCCCCGGGUUUGGUGUUGGGGAUCGGCUCUGCCCUUCUGGGCGGUGCCGCCCCCGAAAUACAUUGGCGGUCUCGCUGCAGCCUCCAUUGCGUAGUAGCUAACACCUCGCAACUGGAACGCGGCGCGGCCAUGCCGUAAAACCCCAACUUCUGAAUGUUGACCUCGGAUCAGGUAGGAAUACCCGCUGAACUUAAGCAUAUCAAUAAGCGGAGGA
RNAcentral lists this unclassified non-coding RNA (348 nucleotides) under soil metagenome. Its description in RNAcentral is "partial contains 5.8S ribosomal RNA, internal transcribed spacer 2, and large subunit ribosomal RNA". The stretch from base 1 to 120 matches the Rfam family "5.8S ribosomal RNA", at positions 35 to 154 of the family's 154-position model. The record is from RNAcentral.